Molecule: ribosomal RNA, 83 nt
Filed under: Rhodococcus sp. Leaf258
Lineage: Bacteria; Bacillati; Actinomycetota; Actinomycetes; Mycobacteriales; Nocardiaceae
Description: partial 16S ribosomal RNA
Rfam family: Bacterial small subunit ribosomal RNA
Source: RNAcentral
CUUCAACGGAGAGUUUGAUCCUGGCUCAGGACGAACGCUGGCGGCGUGCUUAACACAUGCAAGUCGAACGGUAAGGCCCUUCG